Molecule: ribosomal RNA, 497 nt
Filed under: uncultured bacterium
Lineage: Bacteria
Description: partial 16S ribosomal RNA
Rfam family: Bacterial small subunit ribosomal RNA
Source: RNAcentral
GAUGAACGCUGGCGGCGUGCCUAAUACAUGCAAGUCGAGCGAACAGAUGAGGAGCUUGCUCCUCUGACGUUAGCGGCGGACGGGUGAGUAACACGUGGAUAACCUACCUAUAAGACUGGGAUAACUUCGGGAAACCGGAGCUAAUACCGGAUAAUAUAUUGAACCGCAUGGUUCAAUAGUGAAAGACGGUUUUGCUGUCACUUAUAGAUGGAUCCGCGCCGCAUUAGCUAGUUGGUAAGGUAACGGCUUACCAAGGCAACGAUGCGUAGCCGACCUGAGAGGGUGAUCGGCCACACUAGAACUGGGACACGGUCCAGACUCCUACGGGAGGCAGCAGUAGGGAAUCUUCCGCAAUGGGCGAAAGCCUGACGGAGCAACGCCGCGUGAGUUAUGAAGGUCUUCGGAUCGUAAAACUCUGUUAUUAGGGAAGAACAAAUGUGUAAGUAACUAUGCACGUCUUGACGGUACCUAAUCAGAAAGCCACGGCUAACUACGUG